UGGAACCUUUCAACCGUUCGGCGUUCACUUACUACGAUACAAAAAUGCGGAGAUAAUUGCUCACUAACCAGUUAGGCCUACUAUUCGAUGGUUGUCACUGCUCUUUCCACCUACCUGGAUUGGUGUAAUUGCCAGUGGACAUCUGUUGCGCCACUUCCGGUAACACAGCCGAAACAACCCGUUUUCCAAGUGUGUCUCGUCAACGAAACCAGAUCUUUCAAUGGAACCAUUCGGCUAUUUAAGGGGAAUUUGACUGGUAUCCAAAACACGGGAUGCACCUUCAACAUUUAUGCAGCUGCUGUUCAGCGAGUUCAAAUGACUUGCUCUGUCGCAAAAAUGAACAGCUACUUAUUCACCAGUUACAUCGAAAUAUAGCUAACUGAAAUGGACGGUGCAAAUUUUAUCCUUUCAGUCCAUCGAGAACGAGACUUACAUUUCGUUUGGCAAUAUGUUGUGGUCGUGAAGUUGUCGUUCAGCACCUCAGGCUGGUUCCAUCGCAACUGGACAACAGUACAGGAAAGCCGGACCGAAACAUAUCCACACAAUUACCGACAACGACGAUCUCCGAUCCUGUGACGACAACAGCAGAGUCGCAGUCUCUUCUUUUCACACUUUGUUAGGAUCGAGGUCAGGAUGUUGAAGUGUAUUCCUCCCGUGGACAAUUACAGCCAAAUUCGAAAUCAAAUGAGGCGACUCCUUGUUAUUUGACAAUCAAUGCACCAGAUGAUCAUCAAUGCAGAUAGCCUGCUCUGUCUUCAAUUUCAAGAGCGUAGCGAAAGUUUUCUAUAUGUUAGUGUAGUUCUUUAUUUUCCAAUUGCUGCGUGUUACCCUCUAUUACUGUUCUAAGCCUAACUACUAACUGACUAAAUACCUACCCAUCCUCGCAAG
This is a long non-coding RNA of Daphnia pulicaria, 888 nucleotides long. RefSeq lists it as uncharacterized. NCBI's taxonomy places the organism in Eukaryota, Metazoa, Arthropoda, Branchiopoda, Diplostraca, Daphniidae. The transcript has 4 exons. The record is from RefSeq and is a predicted model, not a curated record.